GAGUUUGAUCAUGGCUCAGGAUGAACGCUGGCGGCGUGCUUAACACAUGCAAGUCGAACGGAGCGCCGGACACGGACUAUUUCGGUAGGAAGCGUGCGGAGGCUUAGUGGCGGACGGGUGAGUAACGCGUGGAUAACCUGCCGCAUACCGGGGGGAUAACAGCUGGAAACAGCUGCUAAAUACCGCAUAUGCCCGCAGUGCUGCAUAGCACAGCGGGGAAAACUCCGGUGGUAUGCGAUGGUCCGCGUCUGAUUAGGCAGUUGGCGGGGUAACGGCCCACCAAACCGACGAUCAGUAGCCGGCCUGAGAGGGCGGACGGCCACACUGGGACUGAGACACGGUCCAGACUCCUGCGGGAGGCAGCAGUGGGGAAUAUUGCACAAUGGGGGAAACCCUGAUGCAGCGACGCCGCGUGAAGG
RNAcentral lists this ribosomal RNA (419 nucleotides) under uncultured microorganism. Its description in RNAcentral is "bacterial SSU rRNA". It matches the Rfam family "Bacterial small subunit ribosomal RNA", at positions 9 to 407 of the family's 1533-position model. The record is from RNAcentral.